RNAcentral lists this ribosomal RNA (163 nucleotides) under Pleosporales sp. RNAcentral describes it as "partial large subunit ribosomal RNA". Lineage: Eukaryota; Fungi; Ascomycota; Dothideomycetes; Pleosporales. The record is from RNAcentral.
CGGCAACAGCUCAAAUUUGAAAUCUGGCCUCUCGGGGUCCGAGUUGUAAUUUGUAGAGGAUGUUUUGGGUACCGCCCCGGUCUAAAUUUCUUGGAACAGGUCAUCAUAGAGGGUGAGAAUCCCGUAUGUGGCUGCUUGUCUUCGCCGUGUAAGGCCCCUUCGA